Long non-coding RNA from Oncorhynchus masou masou (cherry salmon), 643 nucleotides. RefSeq lists it as uncharacterized. NCBI's taxonomy places the organism in Eukaryota, Metazoa, Chordata, Actinopteri, Salmoniformes, Salmonidae. The record is from RefSeq and is a predicted model, not a curated record. The transcript is spliced from 5 exons.
GGGAGCAGUAUGAUGAUUUGUUGAGCUCGGGCCAGCAGGCCUUCCUAUUGGAGGAGAGUGAUGAGAGCCCGGAUGUGUUCAAGCUGAGUGUAGGUAGUCUGCCUCCAGGGAAGAAGGCCUCUGUCAGCCUGGACUAUGUGACAGAGCUGGCUGUACAGGCUGACGAUGGCCUGAGGCUCUGCCUUCCAGCUGUGCUCAACCCCCGCUAUCAACCCCAGGGGUCAGACAAUGGCAGUGGUGUCAGUGCCCUGGUGUCCUCGGUGCCUGCUGGUUCUGUGCCUUACCGUCUGUCCCUCAGUGCCCAUGCGUCGUCCCCUCAUCCCAUCUGUAGACUAGAGUCCAACUGUCCCUAGGACCCACUCAACUACCUCAACACAGAGAAAACCCAAACCACGCACGGUAAAUACUGACCAGCAUCAACCAAAGUUAGCAACAGUCUGAUGGAGGCGCAGUAUCCAACAUGGAGUGAGUGUGCAGCAGGCAAACCCAGUGCUGCUACUGGUCCCUCCUCAUCUACAGUUGUGAUACAGACACUCCAGUCAGUCUGGCUGCAGGUCAUCAGUUUGACCGGGACGUUGAGCUGUUGUUGUAUUACCAAGACACCCAUCAGCCUACUGCUAUAGUAGAGGCAGCACAGACUUCU